ACUGAACACUUUAGAAUCUCCAUCAGAAGGUUUUAUUUUGUGAUUAAAAUCUCUUUUUAUUUGUUUGAAAAUACCAUAUUUUUUCCUCCAUUCCUGACAUGCAUUUUUACUAGUUAUACAAAUCUGGGUAGACAUUCAAUAUCUUUCAACAGCACUGUUGUAUUCAAGUUACACACUCUUGUUUUUGAGAACUCAGCAAUCAGCCUGCUUGUUUCUUUCUGGGUGACUGGCCUUUUCCUUUGUCUGCUUUUAAGAUAUUUUAAGAUAUUUUCUUAUUCUUCAAUAUCCUUCCAUUUCCUUAAGAUAUAACUAGGUGUGGAGUUCUUUUAUUUAUGCUGCUUGAGAACUUAAGGGCAUCUGGAUGUACAAAUUGAUAUUUUUCAACAAUUCUAAAAAAUUAUCAGGCAUUAUCUAUUUUUUCCUCCUUUCCACUCUUUCUAGGAUCCUUUCAUAGAACUCUGAUUUGAUGUUAUUUUAAGUCUUCUCCUUUUAUCCUGGAGG
RNAcentral lists this long non-coding RNA (501 nucleotides) under Mustela putorius furo (domestic ferret). RNAcentral describes it as "lncRNA (ENSMPUG00000024685.1)". The record is from RNAcentral. Lineage: Eukaryota; Metazoa; Chordata; Mammalia; Carnivora; Mustelidae.